This 705-nucleotide long non-coding RNA is filed under the name Bos taurus (domestic cattle). RNAcentral's name for it is "long non-coding RNA NONBTAT022327". Lineage: Eukaryota; Metazoa; Chordata; Mammalia; Artiodactyla; Bovidae. The record is from RNAcentral.
AAGUAAUGUGAGAGUACUCUGAUAGCACUCACUAAAAGCAAGAUAAACAGAGCAAAGAUCUCUGCAGCCAGAGCACCAGGAGAGAAUUCUACACAGGUAACCAUUUAACUGCUGCUUAAUUAUCUCCUGUGUGUUAACACUUGCUUUUCAAUCAGACUGUAUUCUUUAUAAAGUCAGAAUCACAUUUGCCUAUACUACAGGGUUAGGAAUUUUUGUAAGUCUGUUAGACACUAACAAAUUGCACUAUUUUCCAAAAUCUUCAUUCAUCAUAAGACCAAUGAAAGGCUUAUAGUUAGUAAACUGAAAACUAAAAGAAAGUAUCAGUAUCUUACAUGGUCUCACAUGGGUACCCCAAAGGGUUUAGGAAGACCAAGGGCUCAGUGAAUGCUAAGGUUCUCACUGCACUGUGAAGGGACUUACUCCUUCCUUCUGAUGCCUAGGUUUUAGCUCACUUUCUCAAACACCUCUUUCCUAAUGUGCCAUUCAUUUCUGUUUUCAGGCUGGUAUGUGCAUAGGAAUAGACAGAACAGAAAGUCAAGACGCCAAAAAUUCUUUGACCACGUUGUUCUAAUGAAAGUUAUCAUGACAAAGCACUUUUAGUCCCCAAAUACUUAAGUUUAAAAAAGUACUUAGGGCUUCUGACCACUACCUUGAGCCUUCUCAUGCGAUUAACAUUAGAGAUUAUAAUUGAGGAUUAUGAAAAAG